This 465-nucleotide ribosomal RNA is filed under the name uncultured bacterium. RNAcentral describes it as "partial 16S ribosomal RNA". It matches the Rfam family "Bacterial small subunit ribosomal RNA", at positions 28 to 507 of the family's 1533-position model. The record is from RNAcentral.
GACGAACGCUGGCGGCGUGCUUAACACAUGCAAGUCGAACGGAAAGGCCCCUUUGGGGGUACUCGAGUGGCGAACGGGUGAGUAACACGUGAGUAACCUGCCCUUGACUUCGGGAUAACUUCAGGAAACUGGGGCUAAUACCGGAUAGGAAUCCUUGCUGCAUGGUGGGGGUUGGAAAGCUUCGGCGGUUUUGGAUGGACUCGCGGCUUAUCAGCUUGUUGGUGGGGUAGUGGCUUACCAAGGCUUUGACGGGUAGCCGGCCUGAGAGGGCGACCGGCCACAUUGGGACUGAGAUACGGCCCAGACUCCUACGGGAGGCAGCAGUGGGGAAUAUUGCACAAUGGGCGGAAGCCUGAUGCAGCAACGCCGCGUGCGGGAUGGCGGCCUUCGGGUUGUAAACCGCUUUCAGCAGGGGCGAAGCUUGUGGUGACGGUACCUGCAGAAGAAGCACCGGCUAACUACGUG